GGAUACUGGAAAAGGGCAAAACUGUAGCUCCGGCAGAUCAUAGCAACUUCAGAGAAUAAUUCGUGGGACCACUAAAAAAGAAGGUGGUGACAGGAUUCAGAGAGACAUUUGGACUGAUUAAGAAUGCAGCAGAAGAACCCCUUGGCACGUUAGCGCUACAGGGAGAAACCUUAUGAUCCCCACAGCAUCAGGAGUGUGUGUGUGUGUGUAUGCACGUGCGCGCGUGUGUGGGUGGGUGUGUGGGUGGGUGCUACAAGCAUGUCUGUGUGCGCUACAAGCAUGUGUGUGCCACAUGAAUCUGGGGGAGAAACUGAGAUAUUACUGAAAGUGCAGUUAGCCCCCUAAGUGGGUUUUGGUGUUGAUGACAUGCAUGACUAAGGAACUAACGAAUUUAUCAACAAAUUGACAUGUUCAAAUGUUAAGAAAUAAAAAAGUGCAAGAAAGGAUCCCAAAUUUGUUUUAACAACAGUGUUGAAACAUACAGGAAAAUCUUUUAUAAUUUCUAUUUUUGAAUUUGAGUAUAGGAACAUCA
RNAcentral lists this long non-coding RNA (532 nucleotides) under Setaria viridis. Its description in RNAcentral is "long non-coding RNA (SVIR_LNC002223)". The record is from RNAcentral. Lineage: Eukaryota; Viridiplantae; Streptophyta; Magnoliopsida; Poales; Poaceae.